CAUAUGGAUUCCUACGGGAGGCAGCAGUGGGGAAUAUUGCACAAUGGGCGCAAGCCUGAUGCAGCAACGCCGCGUGAGGGACGAAGGCCUUCGGGUUGUAAACCUCUUUUAGUAGGGAAGAAGCGACUGGGUUUUCCUGGGAGUGACGGUACCUGCAGAAAAAGCACCGGCUAACUACGUGCCAGCAGCCGCGGUAAUACGUAGGGUGCAAGCGUUGUCCGGAAUUAUUGGGCGUAAAGAGCUCGUAGGCGGUUUGUCGCGUCUGGUAAAACCCUGGCGGGCUCAACCUCGGGCCUGCAGUGGGUACGGGCAGACUAGAGUGCGGUAGGGGAGAUUGGAAUUCCUGGUGUAGCGGUGGAAUGCGCAGAUAUCAGGAGGAACACCAAUGGCGAAGGCAGAUCUCUGGGCCGUAACUGACGCUGAGGAGCGAAAGCAUGGGGAGCGAACAGGAUUAGAUACCCUGGUAGUCCAUGCCGUAAACGUUGGGAACUAGAUGUGGGGACCAUUCCACGGUCUCCGUGUCGCAGCUAACGCAUUAAGUUCCCCGCCUGGGGAGUACGGCCGCAAGGCUAAAACUCAAAGGAAUUGACGGGGGCCCGCACAAGCGGCGGAGCAUGCGGAUUAAUUCGAUGCAACGCGAAGAACCUUACCAAGGCUUGACACAUACCGGAAACGGCUGGAAACAGUCGCCCCGCAAGGUCGGUAUACAGGUGGUGCAUGGUUGUCGUCAGCUCGUGUCGUGAGAUGUUGGGUUAAGUCCUU
Molecule: ribosomal RNA, 762 nt
Filed under: uncultured Cryobacterium sp.
Lineage: Bacteria; Bacillati; Actinomycetota; Actinomycetes; Micrococcales; Microbacteriaceae
Description: bacterial SSU rRNA
Rfam family: Bacterial small subunit ribosomal RNA
Source: RNAcentral